AUCCAGCUGACGAGUGCCAAAUAAGACGAAACGCGCGUCCUGGAU
Molecule: non-coding RNA, 45 nt
Filed under: Schistosoma mattheei
Lineage: Eukaryota; Metazoa; Platyhelminthes; Trematoda; Strigeidida; Schistosomatidae
Source: RNAcentral